This is a long non-coding RNA of Pangasianodon hypophthalmus (striped catfish), 6504 nucleotides long. RefSeq lists it as uncharacterized. The record is from RefSeq and is a predicted model, not a curated record. The transcript is spliced from 5 exons. Lineage: Eukaryota; Metazoa; Chordata; Actinopteri; Siluriformes; Pangasiidae.
GCUGUGCACCACCUGCCGUAGAAGAAGAAGAAGAAGUAGCCGUAGAAAGAAGACGAAGAAGAAGAGUUCAAACGGUGUUGCUCACCUGUAGAGCCUGUUGAGACACUGACAUCAUGCUGCAGGCGAAGUCUGAGGCCUUAGAAGGUGUCUACGUACCUCACAGCGCCUCAGUCUCCUGUCACACACACUCCAGUGCAGCAGAACGUUCUGGUGCGGGACGAGGUCCUGAUGUCUGCUAUCUCAGCGUUCAUAUCCAUGGACACGCCCGUCUUCCACUCAGGGCAAUCUGAGCAUGCCCAGUGCAGCACUGUACCUGCAGCCCCACCCACAGGCCUCCCGGCUGGUGGCACAGGUCCACUUCUUUUCUUCAUAAUCCUUCAGGAACAUUAGCUCAGUGGUGCAGGUGUAUCGCACGCUGCCCCCGAUGUCUGGAGACGGAAAUGCAGAUGUCCACACACUCAACCUCCAACCUGUUCAGCAGAAAUAGAGGUUCAUCAUGGCUGGAGACAGAAAUGCAGAUGUCCGCACACCUGUUCAGAGUCCGAGCGCAGUGUUCCGCAGCUCCCCUGUUUACAGCCCUGCAAAACCAGCAGCGAAAGCCAAGAGCUGCAUCAACACUCGGGCUCUGAGUGAGCUCAGCGCAUACAAGCUUAUCAACCACAAAAAAGACCAGAAACUGCAGGAAAGGACACAAAGGUACUAGAGACGAGUUCUAACACCAGUUCUUUUUAUUUUAAAGGUGCAGUUUGUCUAUAGCCCGCUGUAGUUUGAGGUUAAAUACAAAUACCUGUUUCUCCAAAACCAUAAGUCUUAUCAAGCUGAAGUUUGGUGUACUCCAUCAGUUUGCUAAUCUGUAAGUAGAGUCCUAAUGACAACUGGGUUACUGGGGGCACUGCAUACUGAAGGUGCUUGGACCCCACAGAUCGUGGCUGUAUAUAUUCAUUUUUGAAAACUGUAGUUAUUAGUUUUUUUAUAUUAGUUUUUUUUUAUUUUUAUUUUUUUUUAUCAUUAUCAUUUUAUUAGUAUAAUUGGUUAAUAGCAAUUAUUUGUAUUAUUUGGAGUUUUUUUUAGUGAUUAUUUUAAUUCUAGGUUUUGGUUUUACAUUUUUUUUCACUCAUACAACUUGAAUUCUAUUAGUUUUAGUUAUAUUGUUCAUUUUUAUUUAUCUGUGAUUUCUAAAGAUUAUAUUAAUUUUUCACUUCGACUCGUGCAGACUGUGAAUUUUGAAUCAUGAGACUGUGUGUGUCACUAAGUUAGCUUAUUUAAAAAAUAUCUUAUUUUGUAGGUAAUGCAAGAAAUGGUCAGGGGCCAUAAAACUACUUUUAGAAUUAUUUUACAUAGCUGGAGCAAUUCAUCAUGGACAAAAACCUCAAAACUUUAUAUAUAAACUUUAUUUUUUUCUGUACCAGGAUUGAAGGGUAGUAAUCUGAAUAUAAACAUAAUUUUUUUUUAAAUUCUCAUAUUCUGUUAGUUCUUAAGUUUUUAUUUAACACAAAAUAAACAUUUACACACUUGUGCAGUUGUAACACAGCUCCCAUUAUACCAGUUUACACUGUCAGCAGGUGACUGUUUAAUUAAAGCAUGUAUUUAUUACACUGCAUAGCAGAUAUACACAAAAAGGAAAAAAAAAAUUCAAGUAAUAGUACAUUUCUGUACAUACAGUAUCUUUGUACAAAUUUCCACUUUCUUUUAUUGGUCAUUAACAUUAACGUUCUAUAUCGGCUUCCUCUCUUCUGUUGAGCUUAAACAUCUCUGCCAUGACUGAAUCCUCCUGAACAUUUACCAUUUUACUCUAGUACCAUUGGUGAUUCCACAAGAAACAUUUCACCAUGUCAGCUCCUGAAUAUUCACAUAAAAGCGUUUCACUUCCAGACCUGUAACUUGCCACCCGUCUGUAUAUUCAGUUGCAUUCUGUACAUCAACAACAACGCAUGUUGUAUAAUACACAAGACUCGCAAUGUUGACAUCAGACUAGACAUGUUGAAUUUCGUGUGUCGUUCCUCUCCUUGGCUUUGACUGAGCUGAUGGACUUGCUGGAAGAAUGUGACCUUGUCUUGAUGUCAAAAAUCACGAUGAAACAUGCAAAAAUGAUCACGCCAGCCGAGAAGACUAAUCGUAAAACAUUUCUCUCCCACUGUGGAUCUGGAAGAACAUCAAGUGAUCUCAGUGGAAUUUUAUUCGGAAUUACUUUAGUUAUUCAUUUGAUUAAAGAAGUAAAAGCCAUGCUUACCAUAUGUUUCACUGACCAUGACUUCAUAGCUUAGAUCUAUAAUAAUAAAUAUAUGUGCACAUAAUAAAAUAAAUACAUGUGAUAAAAAUAUAAGUUAGUACAUGUAACAUAAUUUCAAAAUUAAAGCAAAUUGUCCUUUGCACAUUCUCAGUGAAGUGUUAUAAAAUUUGCACUUAUUACCCUACUGAUUGUUAAAUAAAUGCCCUUUUUUUAAUAGAAAAUGUGGGAAUUACCAUAGAAUUCCAUUGUUUAUUAUUAAAUGUAAUAGUUAAAUUACUGUCAACCUUAUUAAUGACAAAUUAUAACUUUACAUACAAUUAUAUUACUACAUUUAGCCAAGAUUCUGAUUAAGACAAAAACUCUUACCAGUGACUUGGACAUGGAUUGAGUUAAUUCCCGAUCCUGUGAUGUUCUUGGUAAGAUAUUUUGUAAAUGAGUACACGCAGCUGUAUGUGCCAGAGUCCCGUAAUGAAAUAUUCCUCAACGUGAAGGUGUGCUCAUCUUUAUUUCCAAGUAGUUCUAAUUUUUCUCCAACACCAUUUUUACACAAAUACAUGUAAACUUGUGUGUUUGAGCUCUGAAUGUUACAGAUAACUCUGCACUUUAAUGCUAAAUUUUCACCAACUUUUGCUGUGGAGGAUCCAAAAAUUUGUGCUGGAAAAAUCUUCAAAGAAUCACCUAUUGACCAAAAAUAGUAAAACAGUAAAAUAGUAUUUUAUCAGUUAGGACUAAUAUUUUUAAAAGUAUGAUGCAUGUUUAUGUAGUAAUUUCUGGAGAAAAAAAAAAGUACCUUCUGAUGGAGAUAUCAACAUGGUUAAUAUCAGACGUAUUUCCAGAAAGGGGGAAAAUAAACAGAAAGAAGCAAGUCGUGUAAUUAAUUUGAUGCAAAUUGGUUUCUUAAAAAUGCUAUUUUUGCUAAUUUUCUAUUUUUGCUAUUAAUGCUUAUUUUUUAUGCUUAUUGCUAAAAUUUAAUAUCAGUUUCCAGAAAGUAAAAAUAUUUCUUACCAGUGACUUGGACAUGGAUUGAGUUAAUUCCUGAUCCUGUGAUGUUCUUGAUAAGAUAUUUUGUAAAUGAGUACACGCAGCUGUAUGUGCCAGAGUCCCGUAAUGAAAUAUUCCUCAACGUGAAGGUGUGCUCAUCUUUAUUUCCAAGUAGUUUUAAUCUCUCUCCAACACCAUUUUUACACAAAUACAUGUGAACUUCUGUAUUUGAGCUCUGAAUGUUAGAGAUGCUGCAUCUUAAUGCUAAAUUUUCCCCAACUUUUGCCGUGCAGGGUCCAAAAAUUUGUGCUGGAAAAAUCUCCAAAGAAUCACCUAUUGACCAAAAAUCAAUAAAAUGUGAUAGUGUCAGUUAAGAACAGUAUUUUUUUUAAAUGAAAACACAGUAUGUGCAUUUUGUAAUUUCUGAGAAAAAGUAAUAAAGUACCUUCUGAUGGAGAUGUCAACAAGGUUAACAUUGAAGAAAUGUCUUGAAAGAAAGAAAGUCACAAAGAAAGAAGUCAUGGAGUAAUAUUCAUGCAAAUUGAUUUCCUUAAAAAAACAUUAGUGAAGCCUAACUAAAAAUGUUUACACUUAAUGCUUUACAUUUUAUAUUAAUUUCCCCAUAAAAAAUAAAAUAUGUAGAUGAAUUCAGGUUACUUACAGAUUAUAAUGCACAACAUGUCCAUCGUUGAUCAAAAGCCUUACAUGUAUUUCACGUUAGUGUGUACUACUGUACACUUUCUAUAAAAGUUCAGUCACCGCACUGAAACCAGCCCAACUCUUCUUAUUGGACGAUGGCAGGAUGACGCUCUAAACCUUACUCAUUUUAUUAUCGCUAUAAUACUUUGCCUUCUUUGUAGAUUUAACAUUGUCUCAUGCAAUCUUUUUGACACUUGCAUGUGAGUUAAUGAUCCUGAACAUUAGAUUGUGUUUAAAGGUUUAGAGGAUAUGAGGCAGUUAGCUCCAUAAAUAAUAAAAUAAUAAAAUACAGGUUCUUAUUCUGUUAUGUGUUUCAUAUUGCUAAAAAAAAUUAAUAUUUUAGCACAGAUUAAGUUUGACACAAGUUAGAAGUGUGACUCAAUGCAUGAAUCUGUAUCUUUUUAGUGCUUCAAAUAUUCAUAUCUGCAUUUGGAUUUAAACCUGAAGUAGGCACGGCCAAAUCCAGAACCAGAGAUCUGCAUGGUGUGUGAAUUCUGGUUCUGACAGAUCCUCAACCUCAGCCUCAUCGCUCCAGUUCAUCAUUAGUCUUCACAACUAAACAGAGAUGACUGUGUUUUUUUUGUUUUUUUUUUUAAAUCUUGCUUGUUAUUUUAGGUUUGUACCUGCCGCCAAUAAUUCAUUGAAUUUAGUUGGCUCUAUUUCCAAAAAACAGAAAAAACUAGUAGCCUAAUUUAAACCACUGUAGCCUGAUUUAAACCGCCUGACCAGGCAGUUACUAAGGAUGAGUGAAUGACCGCUGUAACUGCGCUACACAUUCACUUCAAUGCUCAUGGUCUUUCUUUGUGCCACAAGCUUCUUAUCUGGCCACUUGGCCACAUGAAAGUUAAAACCUCUCGUUGCACAAAAAAAAAAAAAAAAAAAAAAAAAAAAACAGUCGUGCACCUCAUAUUCUCCUGUGUAUGUGAUUAAGUAAGGGAUAACACUUGACAGCCCGCGCUAAUGAACACCAGAUUCAUGCAUUCGACUGUGCUGUGGUAUAAAUCACAUGUUUUUAAAUUCUGUUACAUCCCUAUCACAAAUAUAAUUAUUACAAAAUGGAAGAAAUUAGCACAUUACAGCACAAUUCAGUCUGUUUUAUUUUAAUCCAAACUGAAGAUAUCUAACAGAAAUUCUUUGUAAAUAUCUCUUUUACAGGAAAACAACAGUACUUGACUGUAAUGUUAAAACUGGCAGGUUCUUGAUAAGUUUCUUCCAUUUACAGGUUCAUUAUAAACGCUAUAUUUAUAACUCUGCAUGGAUCUGGUUAGAUGGUUUGUUUAAAACCAGGCUGGGAAAAUCUAGCUGAGCCUUUAUUCCAGAACAUUUUAGGUUCAGGAAGUAGGACUAUUAAAUAAAAAUAAAACAAAAUCGAAGCUCCGGCAUCAAUUUUUAUUAUACAAGAGUCAGCAUUUUGCAAAAUAAUACAUACAUCACAAUGAUCAUGAUCAAAAUCUCAUAUGCAAUGCGUAGGUUAAAAGUUUAUCAAUGUAUGAAAUGUAUAGUAAAUGAAGCAGAAUUUACAAUUUAUUAUAAUCUGUAUGUAUUGUCCAGUCUUUACAUAGUGCACAUUGUAUUGGUAGGUGCUGCAAAAAACAAACAAACAAGUUUUUAAUAGUUGAUCCAUUGAUGCAAAUUUAUCUGCUAACUUUGUCUCAUUUUGUUGUUCAUGAUUAUUUUCCACAUUUGAAUGUCAGUGCUAGUUGGAUUCAGUGGUUUUGAUACUUAAAAUCACUGAAUAUCUUUCUUUAAUGUUACUGAUUUAUUCAUUCUGGGAAUCAGUGACUAGUUAUUUCCUCUUUUCCUUCAGUACUUGUGCGUAGACUGGUGCUUCUGCAGAUUGUUCAGACUCUCUUCGUAUCUUUGGAUUAUUUUCUGUCAAAAUAAAAGUCCAGUUUAACUGAUUGUUAGAAAAUGUUGCACCGUGCAUGGCAGGAUUCGUUCACAUGCAGUACAGUCAGUUUAAAGCAUAAGCAUAAGAACUGAUUGAAUUGAAAUCGUGUAAUAUAUCCAUGUCCGAAUGCCCAGUAUAACGGCAAAUGAAACGUACAUACCAGGGUGCUGCACUAAGCUGUAUAUUCCACGGGGCUGAGCAAGACUAUACACCACUGUGCUCUCAGCAUCACUAGGACGAGGAAAGACAGAUGGGAGUUGAAGAUUACAAUCAGCACUUGUGCUGCGUUUACAAGUGCAAUUUCACUAAAAUAGUUUGUACUACUGUAUGUAGCCUGCUUAAGCCGUGUCUAGAAAAGCAGACCAUACAAGACUUAGCACUUUUACCAAGAAGUGACUUACCAAGCAGUGAGUGGUCUAAUGCUCCCUGUGAAUACAAUUAUUUUUUUUGUUUUUUUAAAUAACCAACUUUAAUGGCACACAAUUUAUGAACACUGAGACUUCUAGUUGAGCAAAUAAUUUAAAUGAAUAAUUGAAUAAAUAUUAAUAAUAAUCUUCAACUUGAAGUUGUUAGAUAAUAUUUGAUGUUACCUGGUACUUCAGGUAUCGUGGCAUAUUCUGCCAUGUCACUGUACAAUUCAUUCCUGUAUGAUUCACGACCAGAAAAAAAAAAAAGAAAAAAAAGUUAGUUUUACAUUUAUUCA